AAGUCGUAACAAGGUAACCGUAGGUGAACCUGCGGUUGGAUCAUUAGAAAUUUUAAAAACAUUUUUAAUGUUGUUGUACUGUGGAAUUCUUUUUUAGGAUUCCCAGUGCUAACUUUUCGUGCACAACCGAGUUUUGUAUGUGAUUUUGUCUUCGGAUAUAUCACUGCAUACUUACACCUUUUUAUUAUUGUAGAGUUACUUUUUUUUAUUUUCUAUUUAAUUAGAGAAAAAACAA
Molecule: unclassified non-coding RNA, 235 nt
Filed under: plant metagenome
Description: partial contains small subunit ribosomal RNA and internal transcribed spacer 1
Rfam family: Eukaryotic small subunit ribosomal RNA (bases 1-46)
Source: RNAcentral